Molecule: long non-coding RNA, 2383 nt
Filed under: Triticum aestivum (bread wheat)
Lineage: Eukaryota; Viridiplantae; Streptophyta; Magnoliopsida; Poales; Poaceae
Description: long non-coding RNA (TAES_LNC017064)
Source: RNAcentral
ACAACGAAUGUUGUUCCCAAGCACGAAUAAAGUGGAUAGGCAUAAACAAAUUAAAAUUUUCACUACCUUUGUUACAUUGGUUCAACAGUACAAGCAUAGGAAAAAGAUAAGAAGAAGGGGGAAAUAUGGCAUGAACAAUAAAGGGAAAAAAGUUGGACAUGCAGGCGAAAGAUGGCAACAGCUAUAGAGGACAAAGACGAUGUGUUGGUCGUCCUUGAUUUUCACUAUUAUGGAUGUGUCUUCUGGAGGAUAAAGUCAGUGCAGAUCAAAUCUGGCGACGAGAGAUCAGAUCCAUUCCCAGAUUGAAUCAACAACAACACCGAGUUGCUCUUUGCGUAGCUGGACAUCAACCUGCGACAUGAAUCUGGCAGUAAACAGAGAAAUGGAGGGUGUCUUUGCUUUAAAAGUAGCUAGACAUCAGCCAGCAGAAGCAACACGGAAGUCAACAUAGAAAGGAAGGGAAGAAGAAAUGGGACAAGGGUGUUGGCGCCGCCUCUCCUCGCAGCGCCGCUUCUUCUUCCUCCUGAGCUGCCUCUCACAACUCAAUCUCCAUCUCUCUUUGUCUCUCUCAAGAACACACACUACACGGUCAUGGUGAAACUCCACACACACACACACGCAUACACCAAAGAGAAGACAGCCGCUGCUUUGCCAAGAGGGUCUGCUCCUUGGUGAACACUAGUGCUACAUCUUGCCACUUGUGCCCUCACGGCCUCUCCUUUUGAUUACUCAAAGCAACACAUUUAUACAGGAGGGGCUGGCACUCUUGCCGUGCAAAACUCACGCCACUAUCUAGACCCACUACUCCACUAAACUCUCCAUGCACUAACCAUGUACUAACUGACCUUAUCUUAAUCCUGGAAUCUCUCCAGGAGCCAUGACUUGGCCUCAAAUGCACACUACAUGCAGCUAACAAACUCACAUGCAUGCAAACUGACUCAACCUGUUCACUCGGAUCACGCAUGUGUAGACGUUGGCUCCAGGGCUCUUUCACACAGGUUGUCACGCUGCACUUCCCUCGUACCAUGUCGCUUCACACGAAGUUGCUGCAUCGCACAGCCCCAUGGCAUCACACCUUGCACACCGGCCGCGUCGCACGACCAGUUCGGCAUCUCGCCUUUCUACGACUCAAAGUGAACCUUCACCUGCCUAUCACUCCCUAGGCCAUCUAAGUCACAUGCAUGACAAAAAACAAACUAAGUAUGCAGAUACAAAUCAAGAUUAGAGCUAACAUUUUCCCCCUUAAUCUUGAUUCUUCAAUCUUCACGCGGCUUCACCCGCUGCCACUUGGCGACGCCAUCGCGGCGCUGCAGCCGGCCACUCGCCGCCACCGACGCCGUCACAGCGCCGGUCACCAUGGACCAUCUUGUCGUCGAUGACGUCCUCGCGACGCCAAUCACCGUGCCGUCUUGCCGGCGCCAAGUACCACGACCUCCUGCCACAUGCAGCAACCAUCUCUUGACGUGGAUGGCUGCGCCAAUCGCCACGCCGUCAACAUCUUGCGGCAUCGCACCGCAACCGGCCACCAGCGGCAUCACGCCACCGACAGCCUCCACCUUGCGCCGCCGUCCUCCACCUCACAUGGAGUAGGCCGCGCCGCCGUCGUCGCCUCGGAUCGACAAGGCUCUGAUACCAAUUGUUGGCGCCGCCUCUCCUCGCAGCGCCGCUUCUUCUUCCUCCUGAGCUGCCUCUCACAACUCAAUCUCCAUCUCUCUUUGUCUCUCUCAAGAACACACACUACACGGUCAUGGUGAAACUCCACACACACACACACGCAUACACCAAAGAGAAGACAGCCGCUGCUUUGCCAAGAGGGUCUGCUCCUUGGUGAACACUAGUGCUACAUCUUGCCACUUGUGCCCUCACGGCCUCUCCUUUUGAUUACUCAAAGCAACACAUUUAUACAGCAGGGGCUGGCACUCUUGCCGUGCAAAACUCACGCCACUAUCUAGACCCACUACUCCACUAAACUCUCCAUGCAGUAACCAUGUACUAACUGACCUUAUCUUAAUCCUGGAAUCUCUCCAGGAGCCAUGACUUGGCCUCAAAUGCACACUACAUGCAGCUAACAAACUCACAUGCAUGCAAACUGACUCAACCUGUUCACUCGGAUCACGCAUGUGUAGACGUUGGCUCCAGGGCUCUUUCACACAGGUUGUCACGCUGCACUUCCCUCGUACCAUGUUGCUUCACACGAAGUUGCUGCAUCGCACAGCCCCAUGGCAUCACACCUUGCACACCGGCCGCGUCGCACGACCAGUUCGGCAUCUCGCCUUUCUACGACUCAAAGUGAACCUUCACCUGCCUAUCACUCCCUAGGCCAUCUAAGUCACAUGCAUGACAAAAAACAAACUAAGUAUGCAGAUACAAAUCAAGAUUAGAG